AAAAUCACCCAAACACUGGCACUGACUUGUAAUUAGUAAAUAGGGUAAGUGCUAUUUGUUGGGGUAGUUUUA
Molecule: non-coding RNA, 72 nt
Organism: Takifugu rubripes (torafugu)
Lineage: Eukaryota; Metazoa; Chordata; Actinopteri; Tetraodontiformes; Tetraodontidae
Source: Rfam